GAUGAACGCUAGCUACAGGCUUAACACAUGCAAGUCGAGGGGAAACGACGAUGAAGCUUGCUUUAUCGGGCGUCGACCGGCGCACGGGUGAGUAACGCGUAUCCAACCUGCCAUUGACUUGGGGAUAGCCCGGUGAAAACCGGAUUAAUACCCGAUGAAUUCCGAAGAGAGCAUUUGAUUUGGAAUAAAGAUUUAUCGGUCAUUGAUGGGGAUGCGUCCGAUUAGCUAGUUGGCGGGGUAACGGCCCACCAAGGCGACGAUCGGUAGGGGUUCUGAGAGGAAGGUCCCCCACAUUGGAACUGAGACACGGUCCAAACUCCUACGGGAGGCAGCAGUGAGGAAUAUUGGUCAAUGGUCGAGAGACUGAACCAGCCAAGUAGCGUGCAGGAGGACGGCCCUAUGGGUUGUAAACUGCUUUUAUGCGGGGAUAAAGUGUGCCACGUGUGGCAUAUUGCAGGUACCGCAUGAAUAAGGACCGGCUAAUUCCGUGCCAGCAGCCGCGGUAAUACGGAAGGUUCGGGCGUUAUCCGGAUUUAUUGGGUUUAAAGGGAGCGCAGACGGCUUAUUAAGCGUGCAGUGAAAUGUCGGGGCUUAACCUUGGCACUGCUGCGCGAACUGGUUGGCUUGAGUGCGCGCGAGGUAGGCGGAAUUCGUGGUGUAGCGGUGAAAUGCUUAGAUAUCACGAAGAACUCCGAUUGCGAAGGCAGCUUACCGGAGCGUUACUGACGUUGAGGCUCGAAGGUGCGGGUAUCGAACAGGAUUAGAUACCCUGGUAGUCCGCACGGUAAACGAUGGAUGCUCGCUGUUGGCGAUAUGAUGUCAGCGGCCAAGCGAAAGUGUUAAGCAUCCCACCUUGGGGAGUACGCCGGCAACGGUGAAACUCAAAGGAAUUGACGGGGGCCCGCACAAGCGGAGGAACAUGUGGUUUAAUUCGAUGAUACGCGAGGAACCUUACCCGGGCUUGAAUUGCAGUGGAAGGAUACAGAGAUGGUUGACGCCCUUCGGGGCCGCUGUGAAGGUGCUGCAUGGUUGUCGUCCAGCAUCGUGCCGUGAGGUGUCGGCUUAAGUGCCAUAACGAGCGCAACCCUUUUCCUUAGUUGCCAUCGGGUGAUGCUGGGCACUCUGGGGAUACUGCCGCCGCAAGGUGUGAGGAAGGUGGGGAUGACGUCAAAUCAGCACGGCCCUUACGUCCGGGGCUACACACGUGUUACAAUGGGUGGUACAGAGCGCAGGCAGCCGGCAACGUCUGUCGAACCGUUAAAUCCAUCCUCAGUUCGGAUUGGGGUCUGCAACCCGACCCCAUGAAGCUGGAUUCGCUAGUAAUCGCGCAUCAGCCAUGGCGCGGUGAAUACGUUCCCGGGCCUUGUACACACCGCCCGUCAAGCCAUGAAAGCCGGGGGCGCCUGAAG
This 1409-nucleotide ribosomal RNA is filed under the name uncultured bacterium. RNAcentral's name for it is "bacterial SSU rRNA". It matches the Rfam family "Bacterial small subunit ribosomal RNA". The record is from RNAcentral.